GCACUAGCUUUAGCAACACAUAUACCAAAGUUGGAACAAUGCAGAAAUUAUCAUAGCCCCUGCACAAGGAUGACAUGAAGUAUUCUGUAAAAUACAAUAAAAUA
Small nuclear RNA from Suricata suricatta (meerkat), 104 nucleotides. The record is from Ensembl. NCBI's taxonomy places the organism in Eukaryota, Metazoa, Chordata, Mammalia, Carnivora, Herpestidae.